This 614-nucleotide ribosomal RNA is filed under the name fungal endophyte. RNAcentral's name for it is "eukaryotic LSU rRNA". The stretch from base 180 to 333 matches the Rfam family "5.8S ribosomal RNA". Lineage: Eukaryota; Fungi. The record is from RNAcentral.
UUAAAGAGUUCUAUAACUCCCAAACCCAUGUGAACAUACCUAACGUUGCCUCGGCAGGUCGCACCUACCUUGUAGCACCCUACCCUGUAGGGCCUACCCGGGAGGUGCGGGUAAGCCUGCCGGCGGCCCACCAAACUCUGUUUGAUAUUGAAUUCUGAACCUAUAACUAAAUAAGUUAAAACUUUCAACAACGGAUCUCUUGGUUCUGGCAUCGAUGAAGAACGCAGCGAAAUGCGAUAAGUAAUGUGAAUUGCAGAAUUCAGUGAAUCAUCGAAUCUUUGAACGCAUAUUGCGCCCAUUAGUAUUCUAGUGGGCAGGACCGUUCGAGCGUCAUUUCAACCCUUAAGCCUUCGUUGCUUAGUGUUGGGAGCCUACGGCAACGUAGCUCCUCAAAGUUAGUGGCGGAGUUGGUUCACACUCUAGACGUAGUAAUUUUUUAUCUCGCCUAUUAGUUGGACUAAUCCCCUGCCGUAAAACCCCCAAUUUAUCAAGGUUGACCUCGAAUCGGUUCAGACAAACUCGCUAAAUUGAAGCAUCUUAGUCAGCGAAGGAAAAGAAACCAACAGGGAUUGCCCUAGUAACGGCGAGUGAAGCGGCAACAGCUCAAAUUUGAA